AUUCUAGAGUUUGAUCAUGGCUCAGGACGAACGCUGGCGGCGUGCCUAAUACAUGCAAGUCGAGCGGACAGAUGGGAGCUUGCUCCCUGAUGUUAGCGGCGGACGGGUGAGUAACACGUGGGUAACCUGCCUGUAAGACUGGGAUAACUCCGGGAAACCGGGGCUAAUACCGGAUGGUUGUUUGAACCGCAUGGUUCAAACAUAAAAGGUGGCUUCGGCUACCACUUACAGAUGGACCCGCGGCGCAUUAGCUAGUUGGUGAGGUAAUGGCUCACCAAGGCAACGAUGCGUAGCCGACCUGAGAGGGUGAUCGGCCACACUGGGACUGAGACACGGCCCAGACUCCUACGGGAGGCAGCAGUAGGGAAUCUUCCGCAAUGGACGAAAGUCUGACGGAGCAACGCCGCGUGAGUGAUGAAGGUUUUCGGAUCGUAAAGCUCUGUUGUUAGGGAAGAACAAGUACCGUUCGAAUAGGGCGGUACCUUGACGGUACCUAACCAGAAAGCCACGGCUAACUACGUGCCAGCAGCCGCGGUAAUACGUAGGUGGCAAGCGUUGUCCGGAAUUAUUGGGCGUAAAGGGCUCGCAGGCGGUUUCUUAAGUCUGAUGUGAAAGCCCCCGGCUCAACCGGGGAGGGUCAUUGGAAACUGGGGAACUUGAGUGCAGAAGAGGAGAGUGGAAUUCCACGUGUAGCGGUGAA
RNAcentral lists this ribosomal RNA (700 nucleotides) under Bacillus sp. (in: firmicutes). RNAcentral's name for it is "bacterial SSU rRNA". It matches the Rfam family "Bacterial small subunit ribosomal RNA", at positions 1 to 685 of the family's 1533-position model. The record is from RNAcentral. Lineage: Bacteria; Bacillati; Bacillota; Bacilli; Caryophanales; Bacillaceae.